UAGCUCAGUGGUAGAGUGUGUGCCUGGCAUGCACAAGGUCCUGGGUUCAGUCCCCAG
Molecule: transfer RNA, 57 nt
Filed under: Camelus bactrianus (Bactrian camel)
Lineage: Eukaryota; Metazoa; Chordata; Mammalia; Artiodactyla; Camelidae
Also listed under: 2 other names
Rfam family: tRNA
About the family: Transfer RNA (tRNA) molecules are approximately 80 nucleotides in length. Their secondary structure includes four short double-helical elements and three loops (D, anti-codon, and T loops).
Source: Rfam by way of RNAcentral